This is a long non-coding RNA of Prionailurus viverrinus (fishing cat), 265 nucleotides long. RefSeq lists it as uncharacterized. The record is from RefSeq and is a predicted model, not a curated record. NCBI's taxonomy places the organism in Eukaryota, Metazoa, Chordata, Mammalia, Carnivora, Felidae. The transcript has 3 exons.
GGGAAAGAGGCUAGAGUGCCAGAGGAGAGAGCUGGGACUCAAGGAGAAAGAUGGCUUGGAGGAUUUUCCAGGCACAAUCAUAAUUCUUAGGCCCUAGUGGGGCCACUUCAAACCUCAAUGGAAGACCAGGUGCUCAGGACACAUUGAAUCUAGUGAGGAAGAAAGUACAUGCACAUAAAAGGACCACCUACAAUCCUUUGAACAAUCAAGGACAGAUAGAUGGAUGAAUAGAAAUGAAGAUAAAAAUAAAAAUGAUGAAGCAUGA